GUAAAAGCUUUGCGAUGGAGUUUUGGAUGAAUUCUUUAUUUGGUUUUCUCUCUUGUCGUCGUUAGUGUUAUUGAUUGUUUUAAUAUUAUUAGUUAAUAAUUGUUGCUAUGUUUAUGUUGUGCUUAUUGUGUGAAUUGUUUGUCUCAUUAGAUCACGGAGUGCGAGGCUUGCUAUUUAGAGUCACUCGAGUUUGAAGACUGUCAGCAAGGUAAGUUCACAUUGAUCAUGUGUUACCUAUGAAUUUUAUUGCAUUAGUUCAAUUUUUCCACCAUUGCAUGCAAAGUAGGUAAAUUGGAAACUUGGUUCUUGAGUAGUAUCAUGUGGUAGGCAUCCAUAAACCCUUGUCACUUUGGUCCGGGAGACGAUAUUUUAUUUUUGCUAUGCUUUUAGUAGACGGGGUUGGUUGAAUGUUUAUCAUGAGAGUUGUGAGACUUAAUUAGUGACCAAGACCUCAAGGCUUCAAGUUUUUCAAGACCUCAUGAUGCAAUAUACCUCUGGGUGGAAAUUGGUUGAACGACACCCUGUAGUACCCAGUGGUAGCCUAGGUGUUGCUGGAGAAGUACCAGUAUUCACGAGGAAAGUUCCACCCAGGCACGAAGAGAUGGAUGGAUACUUCAAGACCACGGCUUACCUGCACAACCACAAGCCAUUAUGGGCUCUGGCUUGGUUGGACAUCAUGGCGACUCUGGACGGGCGGUGCUACGAGAUGUAGAAGAACGGUAGGAAUAGAUGGGCACCGACAGUGGCUCAGAGGAACCCGUUGGAAGACCAUGUUUUGAUCAUCCGGUUCUCAAACACCCUGGAGGCGAUCAAAUCUUGUAGGGAAUGUGUGCAAAACUCUGCAGAGUACCAAACCCAAUCGAUUAGCCGUGUCCACCAUUAAGGACAACUUGAGCCAAAGGAACUCAAACUAUUAGAAAUUCUCGACACAAAUAAAUUUAGUGAUGUGGGAAUUAUAAUUUGGGUAUGAAAAAUGGUGGGUGGAACCUUCUCAUUAAACAAACAACAUGUAGUAAUUAUUUUCGCUUUUGCCCCCUCUCUUAUUGUAGGAAAAAAUUGCUUUUCGCUAAAAUUACAGCCUCACCUGCCAUAUAUGCAUAUAGUAUAGAUGAUAUUUUCACCCCUCUCUUUUGUGACUUGCCGGCAUAUUCAAUAUGCCGACCUACACGGUUGCAACGUGUCAUGUUGAAGAGUACUUUUCCGACCAGGAGUGAGGACACGAUCUAUGCUCGGUGAUAUGCUCUUGGAGUCAGAUAGACUCAACUACCUUUGAAGCUUCCGCUAGUUUUCAAUUAUUUUUAUCUCAUAAGUUGGCCUUCAGCCACUUUAUUGUAAUCUUUAUUUGUAAUAAAGAACUCGAUAUGAUAUUUCGAUUAAUAAAGUAGUGUGGUUGAGCUCUUGAUAUAUACAUUGAUGUACUGUGUGUGUACCAGCAUGAUCUUGGGAUAGUAUAGAAACACUAGAGACUUGAUCGUUUCAGGUCGGGGAUGGUAUCUAGAGCACCCACUGACCGUAGGACGUAACCUCUAAGAUUGGAAAAGCCUUAGGAAUAAACCAUUUUACUUAUGUCCAUAAAAUUUCUAUA
Molecule: long non-coding RNA, 1585 nt
Filed under: Hordeum vulgare
Lineage: Eukaryota; Viridiplantae; Streptophyta; Magnoliopsida; Poales; Poaceae
Description: long non-coding RNA (HVUL_LNC005280)
Source: RNAcentral